AAUGAACGCUGGCGGCGCGCCUAAUACAUGCAAGUCGAGCGAGAAGACGUAGCAAUACGUUUGUAAAGCGGCGAACGGGUGAGGAAUACAUGGGUAACCUACCCUCGAGUGGGGAAUAACUAGCCGAAGGUUAGCUAAUACCGCGUACGCUCCUUGGACUUCGGUUCAGGGAGGAAAGCGAUACCGUGGGUAUCGCGCUCUUGGUUGGGCUCAUGUCCUAUCAGCUUGUUGGUGAGGAACGGCUCACCAAGGCUUCGACGGGUAGCUGGUCUGAGAGGACGAUCAGCCACACUGGCACUGCGACACGGGCCAGACUCCUACGGGAGGCAGCAGUAAGGAUAUUGCGCAAUGGGCGAAAGCCUGACGCAGCGACGCCGC
RNAcentral lists this ribosomal RNA (378 nucleotides) under uncultured bacterium. RNAcentral's name for it is "bacterial SSU rRNA". It matches the Rfam family "Bacterial small subunit ribosomal RNA", at positions 29 to 400 of the family's 1533-position model. The record is from RNAcentral.